Fukomys damarensis (Damara mole-rat) is the source of this 286-nucleotide long non-coding RNA. RefSeq lists it as uncharacterized. Lineage: Eukaryota; Metazoa; Chordata; Mammalia; Rodentia; Bathyergidae. The transcript is spliced from 3 exons. The record is from RefSeq and is a predicted model, not a curated record.
GUGCAGGGUGAACUGCCCAGCUCGUGGGUACCCGGGGAUGAGCUAGUGACACCGCAGCAAGGACGGUUCACAGUGGUUGUGGUUGUAUCAAGAUAUACAUCAUGUACUAUGGAAUUUGAUCUUUGAAGUUGUAUAAUCCAAUGAUUUGAUGGAUAUUUAAAGGGUUGUGCAACCUUCAAUAUCAUCUAAGUUUGGAAUAUUUAAAUCAACCCCUCAUGCUCACCUACGCACACACCAAUACAUCAUUGUUUUCAGCAUAUAAAUCUUGAACUUGCCAGGCGUGGUU